GACGAACGCUGGCGGCGUGCUUAACACAUGCAAGUCGAACGGAAAGGCCCUGCUUUUGUGGGGUGCUCGAGUGGCGAACGGGUGAGUAACACGUGAGUAACCUGCCCUUGACUUUGCGAUAACUUCAGGAAACUGGGGCUAAUACCGGAUAGGAGCUCCUGCUGCAUGGUGGGGGUUGGAAAGUUUCGGCGGUUGGGGAUGGACUCGCGGCUUAUCAGCUUGUUGGUGGGGUAGUGGCUUACCAAGGCUUUGACGGGUAGCCGGCCUGAGAGGGUGACCGGCCACAUUGCGACUGAGAUACGGACCAGACUCCUACGGGAGGCAGCAGUGGGGAAUAUUGCACAAUGGGCGGAAGCCUGAUGCAGCAACGCCGCGUGCGGGAUGACGGGCUUCGGGUUGUAAACCGCUUUCGCCUGUGACGAAGCGUGAGUGACGGUAAUGGGUAAAGAAGCACCGGCUAACUACGUG
This 468-nucleotide ribosomal RNA is filed under the name uncultured bacterium. Its description in RNAcentral is "partial 16S ribosomal RNA". It matches the Rfam family "Bacterial small subunit ribosomal RNA", at positions 28 to 507 of the family's 1533-position model. The record is from RNAcentral.